RNAcentral lists this ribosomal RNA (397 nucleotides) under uncultured bacterium. Its description in RNAcentral is "partial 16S ribosomal RNA". It matches the Rfam family "Bacterial small subunit ribosomal RNA", at positions 523 to 918 of the family's 1533-position model. The record is from RNAcentral.
AUACGUAGGGGGCGAGCGUUGUCCGGAAUGAUUGGGCGUAAAGGGCGCGUAGGCGGCCCGGUAAGUCUGGAGUGAAAGUCCUGUUUUUAAGAUGGGAAUUGCUUUGGAUACUGUCGGGCUUGAGUGCAGGAGAGGUAAGUGGAAUUCCCAGUGUAGCGGUGAAAUGCGUAGAGAUUGGGAGGAACACCAGUGGCGAAGGCGACUUACUGGACUGUAACUGACGCUGAGGCGCGAAAGUGUGGGGAGCAAACAGGAUUAGAUACCCUGGUAGUCCACACUGUAAACGAUGAAUGCUAGGUGUAGGGGGUAUCGACUCCCUCUGUGCCGCAGUUAACACAAUAAGUAUUCCGCCUGGGGAGUACGGCCGCAAGGUUGAAACUCAAAUGAAUUGGCGGGG